AUUGAACGCUGGCGGCAGGCUUAACACAUGCAAGUCGAGCGGGGUGAUGGUGCUUGCACUAUCACUUAGCGGCGGACGGGUGAGUAAUGCUUAGGAAUCUGCCUAUUAGUGGGGGACAACAUCUCGAAAGGGAUGCUAAUACCGCAUACGUCCUACGGGAGAAAGCAGGGGAUCACUUGUGACCUUGCGCUAAUAGAUGAGCCUAAGUCGGAUUAGCUAGUUGGUGGGGUAAAGGCCUACCAAGGCGACGAUCUGUAGAGGGUCUGAGAGGAUGAUCCGCCACACUGGGACGGGGACACGGCCCAGACUGCUACGGGAGGCAGCAGGGGGGGAUAUUGGACAAUGGGGGGAACCCCGAUCCAGCCAUGCCGCGUGUGUGAAGAAGGCCUUAUGGUUGUAAAGCACUUUAAGCGAGGAGGAGGCUCUUUUGGUUAAUACCCAAGAUGAGUGGACGUUACUCGCAGAAUAAGCACCGGCUAACUCUGUGCCAGCAGCCGCCGUAA
This 503-nucleotide ribosomal RNA is filed under the name uncultured bacterium. RNAcentral's name for it is "partial 16S ribosomal RNA". It matches the Rfam family "Bacterial small subunit ribosomal RNA", at positions 30 to 523 of the family's 1533-position model. The record is from RNAcentral.